AGCAGCCGCCACGGUAAUACGUAGGGUGCGAGCGUUAAUCGGAAUUACUGGGCGUAAAGCGGGCGCAGACGGUUACUUAAGCAGGAUGUGAAAUCCCCGGGCUCAACCUGGGAACUGCGUUCUGAACUGGGUGACUAGAGUGUGUCAGAGGGAGGUAGAAUUCCACGUGUAGCAGUGAAAUGCGUAGAGAUGUGGAGGAAUACCGAUGGCGAAGGCAGCCUCCUGGGAUAACACUGACGUUCAUGCCCGAAAGCGUGGGUAGCAAACAGGAUUAGAUACCCCAGUAGUCCCUGUCUCUUAUAC
This 303-nucleotide ribosomal RNA is filed under the name uncultured bacterium. RNAcentral's name for it is "partial 16S ribosomal RNA". It matches the Rfam family "Bacterial small subunit ribosomal RNA", at positions 507 to 807 of the family's 1533-position model. The record is from RNAcentral.